GGGGUUGUAGCUCAGUGGUAGACCACUUGCCUAGCACAUAUGAGGCACUGGGUUCGAUCGCCAGCACCACA
This 71-nucleotide transfer RNA is filed under the name Marmota monax (woodchuck). Its description in RNAcentral is "tRNA.Ala". Lineage: Eukaryota; Metazoa; Chordata; Mammalia; Rodentia; Sciuridae. The record is from RNAcentral.